AACGGAAAGGCCCUGCUUGCAGGGUACUCGAGUGGCGAACGGGUGAGUAACACGUGGGUGAUCUGCCCUGCACUUCGGGAUAAGCUUGGGAAACUGGGUCUAAUACCGGAUAGGARCCAUCUUUAGUGUGGUGGUUGGAAAGUUUUUUCGGUGUAGGAUGAGCUCGCGGCCUAUCAGCUUGUUGGUGGGGUAAUGGCCUACCAAGGCGGCGACGGGUAGCCGGCCUGAGAGGGUGUACGGCCACAUUGGGACUGAGAUACGGCCCAGACUCCUACGGGAGGCAGCAGUGGGGAAUAUUGCACAAUGGGCGCAAGCCUGAUGCAGCGACGCCGCGUGGGGGAUGAAGGCCUUCGGGUUGUAAACUCCUUUCGCUAGGGACGAAGCUUUUUUGUGACGGUACCUAGAUAAGAAGCACCGGCUAACUAC
RNAcentral lists this ribosomal RNA (426 nucleotides) under uncultured Corynebacterium sp. Its description in RNAcentral is "bacterial SSU rRNA". It matches the Rfam family "Bacterial small subunit ribosomal RNA", at positions 65 to 504 of the family's 1533-position model. The record is from RNAcentral. Lineage: Bacteria; Bacillati; Actinomycetota; Actinomycetes; Mycobacteriales; Corynebacteriaceae.